This 481-nucleotide ribosomal RNA is filed under the name uncultured bacterium. RNAcentral describes it as "partial 16S ribosomal RNA". It matches the Rfam family "Bacterial small subunit ribosomal RNA", at positions 28 to 507 of the family's 1533-position model. The record is from RNAcentral.
GAUGAACGCUGGCGGCGUGCCUAACACAUGCAAGUCGAACGGAGAUUACGGACGGAAGUUUUCGGAUGGAAGACUGUAAUUCUUAGUGGCGGACGGGUGAGUAACGCGUGGGCAACCUGCCCUAUACAGGGGGAUAGCAGCUGGAAACGGCUGGUAAGACCGCAUAAGUCGGCGAGACCGCAUGGUUUUGCCGGGAAAUGAGCAAUCAGGUAUAGGAUGGGCCCGCGUCCGAUUAGCCAGUUGGCAGGGUAAAAGCCUACCAAAGCAACGAUCGGUAGCCGGACUGAGAGGUCGCACGGCCACGUUGGGACUGAGACACGGCCCAAACUCGUACGGGAGGCAGCGGUGGGGGAUAUUACACGAUGGAGGAAACUCUAGUGCAGCGGCGCCGCGUGAGUGAAGAAGUAUUUCGGUAUGUAAAGCUCUAUCAGCAGGGAAGAUGAUGACGGUACCUGACAAAGAAGCCCCGGCUAACUACGUG